GACGAACGCUGGCGGCGCGCCUAACACAUGCAAGUCGAACGGAGUCAAGAGGAGCUUGCUUUUCUUGACUUAGUGGCGAACGGGUGAGUAACGCGUGAGUAACCUGCCCUGGAGUGGGGGACAACAGUUGGAAACGACUGCUAAUACCGCAUAAGCCCACGGCCCGGCAUCGGGCUGAGGGAAAAGGAUUUAUUCGCUUCAGGAUGGACUCGCGUCCAAUUAGCUAGUUGGUGAGGUAACGGCCCACCAAGGCGACGAUUGGUAGCCGGACUGAGAGGUUGAACGGCCACAUUGGGACUGAGACACGGCCCAGACUCCUACGGGAGGCAGCAGUGGGGGAUAUUGCACAAUGGGGGAAACCCUGAUGCAGCGACGCCGCGUGGAGGAAGAAGGUUUUCGGAUUGUAAACUCCUGUCGUUAGGGACGAUAAUGACGGUACCUAACAAGAAAGCACCGGCUAACUACGUGCCAGCAGCCGCGGUAAAACGUAGGGUGCAAGCGUUGUCCGGAAUUACUGGGUGUAAAGGGAGCGCAGGCGGACCGGCAAGUUGGAAGUGAAAACUAUGGGCUCAACCCAUAAAUUGCUUUCAAAACUGCUGGGCCUUGAGUAGUGCAGAGGUAGGUGGAAUUCCCGGUGUAGCGGUGGAAUGCGUAGAUAUCGGGAGGAACACCAGUGGCGAAGGCGACCUACUGGGCACCAACUGACGCUGAGGCUCGAAAGCAUGGGUAGCAAACAGGAUUAGAUACCCUGGUAGUCCAUGCCGUAAACGAUGAUUACUAGGUGUUGGAGGAUUGACCCCUUCAGUGCCGCAGUUAACACAAUAAGUAAUCCACCUGGGGAGUACGACCGCAAGGUUGAAACUCAAAGGAAUUGACGGGGGCCCGCACAAGCAGUGGAGUAUGUGGUUUAAUUCGAAGCAACACGAAGAACCUUACCAGGUCUUGACAUCCGAUGCAUAGUGCAGAGAUGCAUGAAGUCCUUCGGGACAUCGAGACAGGUGGUGCAUGGUUGUCGUCAGCUCGUGUCGUGAGAUGUUGGGUUAAGUCCCGCAACGAGCGCAACCCUUAUUGCCAGUUACUACGUAAGAGGACUCUGGCGAGACUGCCGUUGACAAAACGGAGGAAGGUGGGGAUGACGUCAAAUCAUCAUGCCCUUUAUGACCUGGGCUACACACGUACUACAAUGGCGUUUAACAAAGAGAAGCAAGACCGCGAGGUGGAGCAAAACUCAAAAACAACGUCUCAGUUCAGAUUGCAGGCUGCAACUCGCCUGCAUGAAGUCGGAAUUGCUAGUAAUCGCGGAUCAGCAUGCCGCGGUGAAUACGUUCCCGGGCCUU
This 1337-nucleotide ribosomal RNA is filed under the name uncultured bacterium. RNAcentral's name for it is "bacterial SSU rRNA". It matches the Rfam family "Bacterial small subunit ribosomal RNA", at positions 28 to 1382 of the family's 1533-position model. The record is from RNAcentral.